UACGGGGGGGGCAAGCGUUGUUCGGAAUUACUGGGCGUAAAGGGCUCGUAGGUGGCCAACUAAGUCAUGCGUGAAAUCCCUCGGCUUAAUCGGGGAACUGCGUCUGAUACUGGAUGGCUUGAGUUUGGGAGAGGGAUGCGGAAUUCCAGGUGUAGCGGUGAAAUGCGUAGAUAUCUGGAGGAACACCGGUGGCGAAGGCGGCAUCCUGGACCAAUACUGACACUGAGGAGCGAAAGCCAGGGGAGCAAACGGG
This 253-nucleotide ribosomal RNA is filed under the name uncultured bacterium. RNAcentral's name for it is "partial 16S ribosomal RNA". It matches the Rfam family "Bacterial small subunit ribosomal RNA", at positions 524 to 776 of the family's 1533-position model. The record is from RNAcentral.